AUACUCAAGUGGUCUCUCCUCUUCCCAUACACACCUUACGGAUUCUUCACAGGGUGUGAUGAUGGGAAGCCUAGACACGCUUAUCAGAAGUUUGUCCUCUUAUCGGGAUACGUCAGAAAUUAGAGAGACCCUGGCAAUCACAGCUUCCACCUCCUCAUUUUACAAAUGAGCAACUAGGCUCAGAGUACAGAAGUGGCUUUCCCAGGGUCACACAGCCAGCUUGUGACAGAGUCAGGAUUCAAGUACCAUCUCCUGACUUCUCCAUUGCACCAGACGUCGAUAGAACACAGAGAACCUAAAAGAAGAAAGAAAAAAAAAUAGAGCUUUUGGGAAUAUAUUGGGCUUCUGGUUUUCAAGGACAAUUUUAUGAUAAGUAGCAAUGAUGCCUCAAAAGCUCUGGUAGCUAGCUUGAAUGAACUUAUGUAAUAAACAUUUAUCACAGAACAUGUGUCAUCAAACACCUGCCAGUUCUGAGCGUUGGCACCAAAGCUGCUUUCAUUGUCAAAGAAAAGAGGGGGAAAGGAACUUGGCUGAACAAAGCUGGCAGACGUUUAUACUAGAAAAUUUAGAGGUAAUUUCUAGAGGAACAGAAACACAUUUUCAAAGUCUUAUAAAAUUUAUUUAAAUGUGAUUGGGUGAAUUUAGCAGUUAAAGAAGUGAAGAACACUGAGGUCCAAUUGGUGCCUGAGGCUUCUUCCAGGACCCAGUCUUUUCUGUCUGCCUUGGGCACAGAUUUCUAGAUGCCUGAAGAUGGACAGGCCCAGAGGUUGCCCAGAGUGAUGUCUGAGAUUACUGAUCUCUAUCUAGGCUUCCAUAGAAACACAUCCCAAAACGUUCUUGGUUCUUAUUGGAAUCUCAUCUCAUUUGCAGAACAUGGCCAGAGUCAAAGAGACAUGGACCAUGUGUCACUCAGACUGAGUCCAUCCAUACAAAGAGAAUUCUCUAGCCUGUAUUGGAAGUCAAUCUACAUCAGCAUGACAGGGCAUGUAGCCGAAUACGUGGCCACUUCCCUUUGGCUACCCACACAUUUUUGAACUGCAAGAUCUGUUCUUUAUCUACUCAUCUAAUGGUUAUUACUGGGAGAGCACUGGACUAUAAAUUCUGUUGCACUUGCAGGUGUAAUGAGCUCUUUGAACCUCAGUUUCCUCACCCAUCAGAUACUAUUCAUUAUCUGCCUUGCGGACAACACCUAGUUGUUGGGAACAUUGCAUGAAUGGCAGGUGGAGGUGCUUUGUAAACGCUAAAGCCUGCCAUGAAUGUGAAGGAGUGUUGCUACUCUUCUGUGCCCAACAAUGUGCUAGCACCAAGGGAGUUCAAAAGAAAUGUGAGACAUGGUCCCUACCCUCCAGGAACUUACAACUCAUUGUUGGGAGACCAAGACACAUCCCCUAAAAACAGAUAUGUAACACCUCAAGUCUGUGAAGUACUUACUAUUUAAAUGAUGCCCAGAGCCUCUGAAUCCCCUAGAAGUACAGAGGAGGGGGAGAUCAUUAAUGGUGUGGAGAAGUUGGAGGAGGUGAGACGAUGCCAGG
This 1532-nucleotide long non-coding RNA is filed under the name Homo sapiens (human). RNAcentral's name for it is "HSALNT0316989". The record is from RNAcentral. Lineage: Eukaryota; Metazoa; Chordata; Mammalia; Primates; Hominidae.